UGGCGGCAGGCCUAACACAUGCAAGUCGAGCGGAACGAGUUAUCUGAACCUUCGGGGAACGAUAACGGCGUCGAGCGGCGGACGGGUGAGUAAUGCCUAGGAAAUUGCCCUGAUGUGGGGGAUAACCAUUGGAAACGAUGGCUAAUACCGCAUGAUGCCUACGGGCCAAAGAGGGGGACCUUCGGGCCUCUCGCGUCAGGAUAUGCCUAGGUGGGAUUAGCUAGUUGGUGAGGUAAGGGCUCACCAAGGCGACGAUCCCUAGCUGGUCUGAGAGGAUGAUCAGCCACACUGGAACUGAGACACGGUCCAGACUCCUACGGGAGGCAGCAGUGGGGAAUAUUGCACAAUGGGCGCAAGCCUGAUGCAGCCAUGCCGCGUGUGUGAAGAAGGCCUUCGGGUUGUAAAGCACUUUCAGUCGUGAGGAAGGUAGUGUAGUUAAUAGCUGCAUUAUUUGACGUUAGCGACAGAAGAAGCACCGGCUAACUCCGUGCCAGCAGCCGCGGUAAUACGGAGGGUGCGAGCGUUAAUCGGAAUUACUGGGCGUAAAGCGCAUGCAGGUGGUUUGUUAAGUCAGAUGUGAAAGCCCGGGGCUCAACCUCGGAAUAGCAUUUGAAACUGGCAGACUAGAGUACUGUAGAGGGGGGUAGAAUUUCAGGUGUAGCGGUGAAAUGCGUAGAGAUCUGAAGGAAUACCGGUGGCGAAGGCGGCCCCCUGGACAGAUACUGACACUCAGAUGCGAAAGCGUGGGGAGCAAACAGGAUUAGAUACCCUGGUAGUCCACGCCGUAAACGAUGUCUACUUGGAGGUUGUGGCCUUGAGCCGUGGCUUUCGGAGCUAACGCGUUAAGUAGACCGCCUGGGGAGUACGGUCGCAAGAUUAAAACUCAAAUGAAUUGACGGGGGCCCGCACAAGCGGUGGAGCAUGUGGUUUAAUUCGAUGCAACGCGAAGAA
RNAcentral lists this ribosomal RNA (951 nucleotides) under Vibrio alginolyticus. Its description in RNAcentral is "bacterial SSU rRNA". It matches the Rfam family "Bacterial small subunit ribosomal RNA", at positions 37 to 968 of the family's 1533-position model. Lineage: Bacteria; Pseudomonadati; Pseudomonadota; Gammaproteobacteria; Vibrionales; Vibrionaceae. The record is from RNAcentral.